CAAGUCCUCUAUCCGGUAAGGUGUAGCGAACCGCCGGAGCCCCGAGUCAUGGGCUGCUGCUCGUGAGGGUAGUGGUUAAGCGUUGACAGGGGAACACACAGGCUCGGUAUUGAGCUCCGAAAUCAGGGUUGGGAAUGCUGACCGUGUUGGGUGAACGGGAAGGCAAAACUGAAUGCUGCGUCAACGCAAGUGGCAGGCAGGCCUGCCACAUCCAGAAGCU
Molecule: non-coding RNA, 220 nt
Filed under: Desulfobotulus alkaliphilus
Lineage: Bacteria; Pseudomonadati; Thermodesulfobacteriota; Desulfobacteria; Desulfobacterales; Desulfobacteraceae
Source: RNAcentral